GCUCCGAAUACCCCCAAUUUAUCUUAUCUUUAAGUCUCAUAUCUAGCUUAGGUAGUUGCCUUUCAUUUUAAGUCAUAAAACUUGGGUGUGGCGUUUCGACAUUUUCAUAUGCAAGCCUACCAAAGCUGAAAAUGUUCAAAAUGUACUAUAAGGGAGGCAUACCAGUUGAAUCCCCGCUUAAACAUUAAUUGUACUCUUUGCAAGCAACUCUUUUUCUUGCAAUUGACCGUCUUUAAUAGGGGUGUUCAAAAUGAAGUUGAAAACUGAACCAAAUCACUAAUCGAACUGAGAUCGAACCAAAACCGAACCGAAAACGAAUGCAUACGGUUUGAUUCGGUUUCUAUUUUAAACAAACCGCAUAAAAUUCGGUUCGGUUUGGUUCGGUUUAAGAUGUUAAGAACCGAUUCUCAAACCAAACCGAAUUGCUUUAUUU
Molecule: long non-coding RNA, 433 nt
Filed under: Cucumis sativus (cucumber)
Lineage: Eukaryota; Viridiplantae; Streptophyta; Magnoliopsida; Cucurbitales; Cucurbitaceae
Description: long non-coding RNA (CSAT_LNC000373)
Source: RNAcentral